UUCACGACGUCGACAAGAACAACUCCAGUUUUCACUCCUUUCUUUCGAUAAAUUUAUCCGUUUUAAUCGAAACAAAUCCGGGCAAAAAGCAUUUCAAAAUUUGUAAGUGUUUCAUCGUCAUGAGGAUGUCAAGAGAUCAAUUGUAACAAGCUCAUAAUGAUCUGAAUAUGAUGUCCGCCUAUAACUAAGAAGUGUUCGUCCACCACUAUCAUGAAGAUGUCAAGAGUUCACCAGGAACAAAGCUUGUCAUGAUCUGAAUAUGAUGUAGGCUUUAGCUAAGAAGUGUUUGUCUGCCAUGUCAAGAGAUCACAGUAACAAAGCUCAUAAUGAUCUGAAUAUGAUGUAGGCCUAUAACUUAAAAGUGUUUGUCUGCCAUCGUCAUGAAGAUGUCAAGAGAUCAACAGU
Molecule: long non-coding RNA, 405 nt
Organism: Asterias rubens (European starfish)
Lineage: Eukaryota; Metazoa; Echinodermata; Asteroidea; Forcipulatida; Asteriidae
Exons: 5
Source: RefSeq, a predicted model, not a curated record